AUGCAAUUGGAGCAUCUGAAGGAAGAAGAGACCUUGAAGCAGAAGAUGUCUGAGGAACUCGCAGUGGGCAAGAUACACUUGCUGCAGUGACAAACUGCUGUCCCAUCACGGUUGAUGGCCUCUUUGAUUGCAUAGAUGGGACCUCCAUUAAAUCUGCCUUUGCUCCACCAAACAUCAGCCUGAAAAGCUCGGAUGGAAAAAAGGAAUUGGAGCAAACAAGCAAGGAUGCUUUGUUUUGAUUCAUGGGAAUUUCAUAUCACUUCUGAAGCUUCAGUAUAAAGCAGCAGAAUCAAGCUAAGUCCGGAAAAAGUGUUGUAAUGAGCACCUCAU
Molecule: long non-coding RNA, 330 nt
Organism: Dromaius novaehollandiae (emu)
Lineage: Eukaryota; Metazoa; Chordata; Aves; Casuariiformes; Dromaiidae
Exons: 3
Source: RefSeq, a predicted model, not a curated record